Molecule: long non-coding RNA, 698 nt
Organism: Rattus norvegicus (Norway rat)
Lineage: Eukaryota; Metazoa; Chordata; Mammalia; Rodentia; Muridae
Gene: Tox3l1
Product: TOX high mobility group box family member 3 like 1
Exons: 3
Source: RefSeq, marked validated
ACCACGCUCUACGGAACUGUGCGGACAAGGCCCAGACGAAGUUCGGCUUAGGAGGUUUGGCUUUGCGUCUUCCUAGGCCAAAAGAAGAUGUCAGAUCCCCACAAUCCAGAGUUACAGACAACUGUGAAACCAAACCUGGAUCCUGCAAGAGCUGCAAGAGCUCAUAACUGCUGAGCCAUCUCUCCAGCCCCGUGGUGUUUGUUUGUUUGUUUACUUGAGUCCCCUUUCAGAACGUGUCAGACAGAUGGCAGAGAAGGCAGUACUGGGGAAUGUCAUCACGCUGCUCCCGCUCACCCUUCAGGUCUACCCACACACCACUACAUGUCAAGAAUAUGUAUUUGGCCCUAUUCCUAUGUUGUGAAGUAUCGAAGGAUACCGUUUGGCUCUGCUCAACACGGAUGUCCACGGUGGUCCACGCUGUCGGGACCGAACAGAAGCCUGAAAUAUGUUGUUGCCUUCUUACCUUCAGGUAGAAGAAUGGGGUGUGGAUACCAGCUCUAUUGUCAGGUAAUGUGUUGUAACAGUAAUAUUUUAUUCCUAUUUAUCUUUUUGUUUGUUUUCAGCUGGUUUUUAACUUGGAGUGGAGUCAUAAGGAUUGUUGAUUGGGCUUUCUAACUCUACUGUUUCUUCUUCAUCGUCGUUGUCAUCAUCGUUGUCAUCUCAUGUAGGUCAGGCUGACCAAGAACUGCCUGUUUAGA